AGCUAGAAAAGCAAGCUGCUUGUCCCACACCUCUGCAACAUUGGCUACCUCCUAAUAGAGAGCUCGGUGGAAGAGCCCAGUCCUUCAGGAGAUGUUUUCAAGUAGCCUAAAAUCAAGUGGCCUGCAAGGAUGCAUACUGGGGGCCAUCAGAAAUAUGGAACAAGAAUGAGGUUUACCACAUAAAAGUCAUAUCAUCCAUAAAGAGUAAUAAGAAGAAACCUUUUUCAAUGUUUUGGCCUGACACAUCAUUCUUUGGUCCAGUAGGAGGGGCUGACACCUUCAGUACAAUAUUAACUAGAAGAUGCAAUAUUGUGCAUCCUUACCAUGUUCUUUUAAUAUUAUUAAUACCUUCCUUUGAAGUUUUUUCUGAAUAGGCCAAAUGUCUUCUCAGCAUCAAUAUGUUAAAUUUUUUUCUCCUAAAAUCUAUUAUUAUUUUGAAUUAUAAUAAUACUUUUCCUAACAUGAAACUAUCUGGAAUGAAUCCCUCUUGGCCUUUCUGCUAGUCUUUUAAUGAACUGCUUGAUUCUAAUUGCUGUUGUUAGGUUUAAAACUUCAGUAUGUAAAUUUGUGAGAGUAAUGUGUUGAUUUUCUUUUUUUAUAAGGUUUUUGUCAGGUUUUGGUUUCAAUGUGAAGUAAGUUAAGUAGAUAUAGGGGACAAACAGGGAAACUGUAUGGUGGCCAGAGGCUGAUGCAGCCACAGAGCUAUAUUACAUCAGGACAUCAUGUCAGUGCUCAAACAGUAAGAAAACAGUGCCACCUAAACCCAGCUAGAAUGAACAUGGUCAACCAAAAAGACCACUAACUGUAUUAUAAUGCAUUUCCAAAUCAUUAGUCUUACAGAAGUGGUGAUUCCUAUCUGAUACUCUGAUAUAUUUGAAAACCCAAUAUAAGGACAAGAAAGGAGAGUAAACCAUAUUUAAGAAAUAUCCUAUAAAAUGAAAGAAAAUACCUGCCAGCUAUCCAUCAGACAAGGCAUUAAUAUUGAGAAUACAUAAAGAAUGCAACAAAUUAAACACCAAAAGAACAAACAAUCCAAUUAAUAAAUGGGAAAAUGAAUUUAACAAGCAGUUCUCAAAAGAAGUACAGAUGGCCAAUGAAUACAUGAGAAAGAGUUCAACGUCCCUAACUGUUAAGGAGAUGCAAAUAAAAAUACAUUAAGAUUCCAUCUUGCCCCCUUCAGAUUGGCUAUCAUAAAGGAAACAAAUGCUGGUGAGAAUGUGGGGAGUGGCAGAUCCUUAUGUACUUUUGAUUGGAAUGUAAAUAAAUUAGUCCAGCCACUAUGGAAAUCAGUGUGGAAGUUCCUCAAAGAAACUAAAACUAGAACCACUUUGUGACCUUGCUAAUCCACUGCUGGGCAUGUACCUGAAGUUAUCAAAGCCAGCAUGCACAGAAAUACCUGCACAAUGGCCAAGAUAUGAACUCAACCUAGGUGCCCAUUAACAAAUGACUGGUUUAGAUACACAGAGUUUUAUUCAUCCAUAAACAAGAAUGAAAUUAUGUCAUUUUGGGAAAAUGGAUGGAACUGGAGACCAACAUGUUAAGCGAGAUAAGCCAGGUUUAAAGAAACAGAUAUUGCAUACUUUCUCAUAUGCAGAAUCUAAAUCUA
Molecule: long non-coding RNA, 1606 nt
Organism: Castor canadensis (American beaver)
Lineage: Eukaryota; Metazoa; Chordata; Mammalia; Rodentia; Castoridae
Source: RefSeq, a predicted model, not a curated record